Long non-coding RNA from Mauremys mutica (yellowpond turtle), 1267 nucleotides. RefSeq lists it as uncharacterized. Lineage: Eukaryota; Metazoa; Chordata; Testudines; Geoemydidae. The transcript is spliced from 3 exons. The record is from RefSeq and is a predicted model, not a curated record.
CUGGGGGGAGCAGGUGGAGGGGCUCCAGCCCAGGCAGCAGCCAGGGAUCCAGAUUAGAAAAGACCAGAGCUAGGGGGUGACUCAGGCAGGGUUGGCGCAAAGAGAAGGGUGGAAAAUCACUCCAUGAUGGUAAUGGUCAAUGUGCUGCGUAGAGCCUGGCAUCCGGCCGGGGAUGCUGGGGGGCCUGCAGGACCUGCUGCCACAAUAGCAGGCGCCAGGUAAAAAUUCAAGACGCAGAACGUGGGCGUAGACGUUGUGGGAUGGGAGCAGGAUUACAGGACGAGUCCCCUGCAGGGCUCUACAGCUGAGCGAGGUGGUAAAGAGCCAUGUUAAUCCCUUGAAAAUAGCUGGAUGUAUUAGGAAAAGCCUUGGGAAAUCUACCAAGAGCUGGAAGGUUACAGGGUGUUGCUGUGCUGGUGUCGUGUAUUGCUAAAGAACAGCCUGAAAAAGGCCUUAAUGCUAAAAUUCUAGGGACAAUAAACGCAGGCUGCCAGCCACCCAAAUGUAGGAUGCAAACAAGUAGGGGAAUAUAUGGGGUCCCCUUGGAAAUGACUGGAAAUGGAGCAGGUAGAGGUGGGGACCCAGGGCAAGUCAUUAUGUGAAUAAUUAGUGGGAGGGAGGUGAGAGCAAAUGUCCACAGCUGUGCAAAUUGCAUUUAGAAGGGCUUUAUCUGCCAGGGUUAUGCUAGGAUAGGUGAUGUUUUGGAUGAAACCAUAUAUUCUGUUCCCCUUUGAGCUGUUAUAAGUGCUGAAAGUCUGGUAACAUGGCAAAUGCAAAGCUGGUGGGAAGAUGCGGAAUGAGCAGCAAGUCAGAGUGGUGAAUUCAAUUAAAAGGGAGGGACGUGGCCGGCUGCCUGUCAGCUUUAAACACUCGUUAAGACACAAGUUGAGCUUGGAGACGGCUAAGAGGAGUAUUCGUAACAGCGCUUUCGCUUGGGGACCCGUAAAUCUCUCCAGCGGCUGCCCUCUGACUUGCUUCGGCGCAAGGUGAAACAUUUCCAGCUUAUGCAGCCUCUCCUUGAGCGUCAAUCCUGACUCCGCAGCUAAUGGCUUCGACUACCCACCGCUGGUGCUUUUCCUUCUCCGAUGUCUCCUUCUCUAAGGUGCAACAGUUGAUGACACCAGCAUCAAAGCAGCAGAGGAGAGUGCUCAUGCUAACACGCAAGGAACUGCUAGGGAUACGCUCAUUAGCACGAGAGCGCACGCACCCAGGCCUAACCCCCAGCAGUGCGGGGAAAAAAAGAUUUAAAACAAGCCUGUUUGGAAAU